Non-coding RNA from Microcebus murinus (gray mouse lemur), 2892 nucleotides. The record is from RefSeq and is a predicted model, not a curated record. Lineage: Eukaryota; Metazoa; Chordata; Mammalia; Primates; Cheirogaleidae.
UCACCUCUGGGAUGGUAGCUGUCAGGACGGGGCAGAUGAGAAGGGCUGCUCGUGUUCUUUCCUGCUCUGCGAGGACACGCACGGGUCGUGCAGACACGCUUCGUAGCCACGCCCGUCACUAGGGCUUAUUUUCAGGGUGGGGCUUCUAUUGCGCACAUGCUUAGAAAUCCUGCUAGGGCUUAUUUUAUGGGUAGGUCUCAUUUUCAGGAAACACGGUAGUGCUUCAGUGCUUCAACUUUUCAGGGGAAAAGUUCUCUUAGUUCUAAAAUGGAUCCAAUUAGGACCUCCUGCUUGGAGCUCACAGAACCACAUGUAGAACAAACGAAUGACUGAAGUUUCGCGAAUUCGGUUGGGCAAAUGUGGGGGAAGGGCAGCGGUGAUGACGAGCUGGAAGGAAGGAGGCGCAGACGUGAGUGGGGUAGAGGGGGCGAGGGUGGCGGGAGGAAGUGCAAAGGAAACUCAUGGCCGAAAGGUUUCGCGCUGUCUGUGCUUUCUCCCUUCAGGUGAGGCCCUGCCAUCAUUUUCAAAGACAGCCAAAGAAAGAAACUCCAGAGGACAAAAAAAAUCAAGAUCACAAAACCGAGUCAGGCAUGAAGCCUAAGUAAAUGCUUCUCGAGACGCAGAUUAAUUCUCACCGCUUUGUUAUCCCAGAAAUGUGACUUGAGAAGAAACAUGGGUGGGAGAAAGCUCUCCCAGGUUUAGCGCUGAUUGUGAGGAACUCCUGGCACCCGGACCAUACAUGCCAUUCCAGAGAAAUUCCAUCUUCACUGAUGUAACAGGAUGUCAGAACGGGGCCGCUCCGGCCUCUGCCGCAACGGAGACCCAGCGUGGCGGUCACCAGUCCCCGUGCGCGUGUGAGACAGAGUGAGCCACAGAAAUUGAGGGAAAAAUCGACUAUCCAAUUCAGGCAAGAAUACAAGGAUUUGGGCUUUCUACUAUACAGCCUGGUGGAAGGAUACAUUUGAAUAACCUUUUGGACAACAAUGUUUGCAAUACCUCAGCUUCCCCUUGGAGCAGUCUGCCUGUUCCCCCGAUGAAGACAGGGAGGCAACGUGUUUCAUGCCGUUGGUUUUCCCCGUAACGCCCGGUCAUCCUCGGCGGGGGGCCGGCCUUGUGGAUGAAGACCCAGGAUGGCAGGCUGAGUAACGCGGCAUGUUUCCCCGGCAACGGUAAGCAUCUUACUUCUCUGCGGGUUCUCCGUAGUGAGAGUGGGGUUUUCGCAGGGGCAGAUACUCCUGCUAGACCCCGACCCCCAAGUCGUCCAGGCAGAGGGGGAUGCACUUGGGGACAGCGUGGUGGCUUCUGUUCUGCGUGGCCUCCAGGGGGCAGCCGACUCCGGUGGCCCACGUGAUGAUCCGGCACUGCACUCUAGCCCGGGAGACAGCGCGAGACCCUGUCUCUUAAAAAAUGGUACCUAGUUUUUUUAAGCACUAUUUCUUGUUACUCUAAAACAGCCUUAUUACCAAACAUCUGACAGACGGUAGAAAAAGGAAAAUAAAAUUCACUACAUGGUCCCAUAAUUACAUAUAUUGAUAUAUAUGUAUAUAUCAAUAAACACUACUACUAUAGGCAGUCUCUAAUAAUUCUCUACAAUCUCUAAUAAUAUCAUAACAUUAUCUUUUUCUACUCCUUUUUAUUCAUGCCUUGAAUUAGGGGUAUGUGACAAAAGGGAGAAUAUUUUUAAAAUAUGCUUUGGAGUUUGCAUAAGCUUCACUUCAAGGGAGAGAAUUCUCUGUUGGGAACACGUAGGUGUCGGAUGAUUCCCAGGCUUCGGGGGGGGGAACAUUCCCCUAUCUGUUACAGUGAGAAUAAUUCGGACCUUCUAUUGCAACGUGGAGAGGCAGAGGUGGGUGGGGGGAGGGGAACGGGAGAUGGGAGAGGCCAAGACCGGGCGGGACCGAUCAGAAGCCGGCCGUGCCAGCAUGGUCCCCACUGGAAAAGGGGGCGUGCCGACCCCAGACGGCAUGAGGCGGCGUCGUGAGGGGACUGGAUUCCAGAGUGUGAGGAAAUCCAAGGGCUGGUGGCCCCCGGGCUGUGAAGCAAGGCUGUCAUGGCUCUCAGCCCUACAGGGGCGAACGCGGGUCAGCUUCCUGAGCACAGAAGGAAGGGACCUCACUGCAUGGAGACCGCCGUCCAAUCUCGAGGGCCACGGCAACUGCAUAGGGGGACAAGGGGAGGCUGGGGGCCUCCGUGCCUCCUCCUGCCCGCCGACGCGCCCAGGCUCCCCGGGAGCCGCUGCAGCCCAUAGGUGAGCAUCUCGGGCCGGACGGGCGCAGAGAAGAGGGAGGGUCUGUCCACGGGAGAGACCCAGUGGGGGGAUGGCCGGCCGGGUGGCAAGGCCAGGCUGGUGAUGCCUCGCAUUUAAAUCCUCGUGUUUUGAUGAUCUGAACACAGUUUUUGUGGCAGCUUCAACCAAAAAAAAAAUGUAUAAAAUUUCUUUUCUGAUCCGUUAAGCAAGGCUUUGUGAAGGCAUUCAGAACCCCAAAGACGUGCUAUCUUCACGUCUAUACCCAUGCUCAAGCCAUGAGGAGCCAAUCCCAGAACACGACUCUUAUGAGAUGACUUGGCCCUUCAGAGGGACGGCUGUUGGCUAGCUGGCACCAUGAGCACAUGGGCAUCUGUUCACAGAUGGCGAGACAGAGGCCGUGACCGGCUGGCAAAAUAGGAGACGCGGGCAUGUGAACUUCCUUCCCCUGGAAGUCCGACUUGGGGCCAUCUGAGGCAUGGGUGCUGCGAUGGUCCCUGGCACUCACUGUCUCCAGCUCUCUGUCCUCAUUUCUUCUUGGAUCCAGUUCUCCCACCGUCUGCUUCCAAUCCUCCACCAAGUCCCUUUCUGAUUCCUUGUGUUUUUUUUGAGACAGAGUCUCACUCUAUUGCCUGGGCAAGAGUGCC